Amphiprion ocellaris (clown anemonefish) is the source of this 1197-nucleotide long non-coding RNA. The record is from Ensembl. NCBI's taxonomy places the organism in Eukaryota, Metazoa, Chordata, Actinopteri, Pomacentridae.
UGAAUAUCCAACACCAUGCACACGUUCUCCUAUAGAACAUCCUGCUGCGUUUGUUCUAAUAAUCUCUGGGAAGCACUUUGGUCAACAGUCAUUAAAUAGCUUCAUUAAAAACGACUCCACGACCAACUGGAACAAACUCAGUUCGUCUGGAGUCAAACAUUGGAGAUCUCUUUAGUGGUAGAACCCCCACAGGAGAACGUCAGUGGUUGUUUCCUUUUAGUGCCACGAACAUCCAGGUUCACCUCAGAGUUCAGGAUGUUCUAAACAAACAACCGUUUCUCUUCGUACCUUCAGGAUUUCUUCCUCCAGUUCUGCUGUUUACUACAUCAUUUAGUCCAUCAGGAAUAACAACAAAGAACUUGUUGAGAUCUUUGGUUCCACCUUCUACCUGGUUUAUCAGUCAAACUAGAACCUGAGGUGUUCCACAUGGUUCUGUCAUCGGCCCUCUAAAGGUUCUGUCCUCACCUGAUUUCAGGAUUUCACUGAAACUAAAUCACUUUAGUCUGGAAUAAAUGUUCCUCUAGAAGGUUGUGAUUUAUAUUUUAGGUUUUUGAGAGGUAUUAGUGUUCAUUUGGAGGCUGUGAUUUGUUUUUCUAACUUUUUGUUGGGUGUUUUCAUGUCAAAAUAUUCAUAUCUGAUUACUUAAAAUCCUGCUAGCUUGUAAUGGAGCUGCUCUAUGAGGUUCAUUAGGGAAGUACCAAUCUAGUUUCUUUUGCCUAUGAUCCAAUCUAAGACAUUUAAUAUUUACUAUCUAUAGACACCAAAUCCUGAUUUGAUACAAUCUUCCUCCAUAAAACACACUUCAAGUACAUAAAGUUAUUAAAAUUAAUCCAGUUUAGAUGCUUGACAACUGAAUAUAUCUGCAAUAUAUUAGGAAAAAACUACAUUUCUGUUUCCAACCUUUUCCUUAAUGUUCUGUUGGUGGAACCUUGUUGUAAAGCUCCAGUAGAACCCUGUUUAAAUGUAGUAUUAGAGGCUAAUGAUGGAAAAAGUCCAUUAAAAAGUGAUAAAUCUGGACCCACCUCUAUGGACUUCAAGGUUCUACAAUGUUCUAAGUGAUACUAAACUUAAACAAUGGAAUCAAGAAAGGAGAACGUCCCCUACAGAAAGUUCUAGAAGUAGACCACAGACAACUGUAGAAAGUUCUAGAGUAGACCUACCAACACCUGGAGAAAGUUCUAGAGUAGACCUACCGAC